Molecule: ribosomal RNA, 560 nt
Filed under: uncultured archaeon
Lineage: Archaea
Description: bacterial SSU rRNA
Rfam family: Archaeal small subunit ribosomal RNA
Source: RNAcentral
CGUAAGGACUCGGCGAACCGCUCAGUAACACGCGGAUAACAUGCCCUUGGGUGGAGGAUAAUCUCGGGAAACUGAGGAUAAUACUCCAUAGAUCUACUAUGCUGGAAUGCUUGUAGGUCCAAAACUCCGGUGCCCAAGGAUUGGUCUGCGGCGUAUCAGGUUGUAGUGGGUGUAACGGACCCACUAGCCAGUGACGCGUAAGGGCCUUGAAAGAGGGAGCCCUGAGAUGGACUCUGAGACAUGAGUCCAGGCCCUACGGGGCGCAGCAGUCGCGAAAACUUCACAAUGGGGGAAACCCCGAUGAGGGAAUUCCAAGUGCCAGCACAUUGUGUUGGCUGUUCUCCUGUCUAAAAAGCAGGAGAAGUAAGGGCCGGGUAAGACGGGUGCCAGCCGCCGCGGUAAUACCCGCGGCCCGAGUGGUGGUCGAUAUUAUUGAGCCUAAAACGUUCGUAGCCGGUCUUGUAAAUCCUUGGGUAAAUCGGCCAGCUUAACUGUCCGAAGUCCGGGGAGACUGCAAGACUUGGGAUCGGGAGAGGUCAGAGGUACUUCUGGGGUAGGGG